Long non-coding RNA from Trematomus bernacchii (emerald rockcod), 393 nucleotides. RefSeq lists it as uncharacterized. The transcript has 5 exons. Lineage: Eukaryota; Metazoa; Chordata; Actinopteri; Perciformes; Nototheniidae. The record is from RefSeq and is a predicted model, not a curated record.
CUGGACGCUCACCGUUAUCUCCCUCAAGGGCGAGGGCAAGAUACGUUUUCCCAUCAUGGAGGGAAACUCUUCAGACAUUCAAAGCACGAGACCUGAGCUGAGUAUGACCGUUUCCCCUCCUGGAUUGAGCCAGGAGGAUCUAUUGCUCUGUAAAAGUUCCUCUCCUCUCCCUCUGUGGGGGAACCUUGUCUGCGUAGUGUCAGUGGAGGGACUGCACGGUGGGACACUUUAAAAGGUUUGCAGGCAUUGUGACCUAGUGGACCAGACCUGCCCAUCUGAGGAGGGUAAACCCACAAUGUAAUAGUGUAAAGUAUGUUCACCCUCUAACCCGUUGACAGCUGCUGAACAUUGACAUUUUAACAUGUAUAUUUGUGAAAUAAAGCUGCAUUCUAU